Molecule: ribosomal RNA, 1068 nt
Filed under: Campylobacter rectus
Lineage: Bacteria; Pseudomonadati; Campylobacterota; Epsilonproteobacteria; Campylobacterales; Campylobacteraceae
Description: bacterial SSU rRNA
Rfam family: Bacterial small subunit ribosomal RNA
Source: RNAcentral
AGUGAACGCUGGCGGCGUGCCUAAUACAUGCAAGUCGAACGGAGAUUAAGUAGCUUGCUAUUUAAUCUUAGUGGCGCACGGGUGAGUAAUAUAUAGCUAAUCUGCCCUACACUAGAGGACAACAGUUGGAAACGACUGCUAAUACUCUAUACUCCCUCUUUACAUAAGUUAAGUCGGGAAAGUUUUUCGGUGCAGGAUGAGGCUAUAUCGUAUCAGCUAGUUGGUGAGGUAAUGCCUCACCAAGGCUAUGACGCGUAACUGGUCUGAGAGGAUGAUCAGUCACAUUGGAACUGAGACACGGUCCAAACUCCUACGGGAGGCAGCAGUAGGGAAUAUUGCUCAAUGGGGGAAACCCUGAAGCAGCAACGCCGCGUGGAGGAUGACACUUUUCGGAGCGUAAACUCCUUUUCUUGGGAAAGAAUUAUGACGGUACCCAAGGAAUAAGCACCGGCUAACUCCGUGCCAGCAGCCGCGGUAAUACGGAGGGUGCAAGCGUUACUCGGAAUCACUGGGCGUAAAGGACGCGUAGGCGGAUUAUCAAGUCUCUUGUGAAAUCUAACGGCUUAACCGUUAAACUGCUUGGGAAACUGAUAAUCUAGAGUAAGGGAGAGGCAGAUGGAAUUCUUGGUGUAGGGGUAAAAUCCGUAGAGAUCAAGAAGAAUACCCAUUGCGAAAGCGAUCUGCUGGAACUUAACUGACGCUAAUGCGUGAAAGCGUGGGGAGCAAACAGGAUUAGAUACCCUGGUAGUCCACGCCCUAAACGAUGUAUACUAGUUGUUGCUUCGCUAGUCGAGGCAGUAAUGCACCUAACGGAUUAAGUAUACCGCCUGGGGAGUACGGUCGCAAGAUUAAAACUCAAAGGAAUAGACGGGGACCCGCACAAGCGGUGGAGCAUGUGGUUUAAUUCGAAGAUACGCGAAGAACCUUACCCGGACUUGAUAUCUAACAAAUCAUCCAGAGAUGGAAGAGUGUCUGCUUGCAGAAAUGUUAAGACAAGUGCUGCACGGCUGUCGUCAGCUCGUGUCGUGAGAUGUUGGGGUUAAGUCCCGCAACGAGCGCCACCCACGU